This 196-nucleotide long non-coding RNA is filed under the name Mustela putorius furo (domestic ferret). RNAcentral describes it as "lncRNA (ENSMPUG00000031398.1)". Lineage: Eukaryota; Metazoa; Chordata; Mammalia; Carnivora; Mustelidae. The record is from RNAcentral.
GUUUUCCAGAGACUUUGACAUCUUAUAUUUUCUAGCAAUGUUCCAAGUUAUGUUAAGAUGCAAACCCUGGAUAAAAUGGGAUUCAAAUCCAUGGCUUAGAGGUUUCCAGGGACUCUUUAAUAUUCUCAUAGAUUUUCUAAUCAGAGCCAAUAUUGUAACAAGUGGUCUGACUCAGAAGAGAACAGUAGCAUUCUAA